UAAAGAAUUUGGCAUCUAAUUUAUGGGUCC
This 30-nucleotide non-coding RNA is filed under the name Mus musculus (house mouse). The record is from RNAcentral. Lineage: Eukaryota; Metazoa; Chordata; Mammalia; Rodentia; Muridae.